CAAUAGCGUAUAUUAAAGUUGUUGCAGUUAAAAAGCUCGUAGUUGGAUUUCGGGGCAGCCUGGCUGGUCCGCCGCAAGGCGAGUACUGGUCAGCCGCCCUUCCUCUCGAAAGCCCCGACUGCUCUUUAUUGCAGUGGUCGGGUAGUUCGGGACGUUUACUUUGAAAAAAUUAGAGUGUUCAAGGCAGGCCUACGCCUGAAUACAUUAGCAUGGAAUAAUGGAAGAGGACCUCGGUCCUAUUUUGUUGGUUUCCAGGACCGAAGUAAUGAUUAAGAGGGACAGUUGGGGGCAUUCGUAUUUAAUUGUCAGAGGUGAAAUUCUCGGAUUUAUGAAAGACGAACAACUGCGAAAGCAUUUGCCAAGGAUAUUUUCAUUAA
RNAcentral lists this ribosomal RNA (377 nucleotides) under uncultured eukaryote. RNAcentral's name for it is "partial 18S ribosomal RNA". It matches the Rfam family "Eukaryotic small subunit ribosomal RNA", at positions 592 to 976 of the family's 1831-position model. The record is from RNAcentral.